Molecule: unclassified non-coding RNA, 331 nt
Filed under: soil metagenome
Description: partial contains 5.8S ribosomal RNA, internal transcribed spacer 2, and large subunit ribosomal RNA
Rfam family: 5.8S ribosomal RNA (bases 1-120)
Source: RNAcentral
GAUGAAGAACGCAGCAAAAUGCGAUACUUGGUGUGAAUUGCAGAAUCCAGUGAAUCAUCGAAUCUUUGAACGCACAUUGCGCCCCCUGGUAUUCCGGGGGGCAUACCUGUUCGAGCGUCAUUUCACCACUCAAGCCUCGCUUGGUAUUGGGCAACGCGGUCCGCCGCGUGCCUCAAAUCGACCGGCUGGGUCUUCUGUCCCCUAAGCGUUGUGGAAACUAUUCGCUAAAGGGUGUUCGGGAGGCUACGCCGUAAAACAACCCCAUUUCUAAGGUUGACCUCGGAUCAGGUAGGGAUACCCGCUGAACUUAAGCAUAUCAAUAAGCGGAGGA